This 103-nucleotide microRNA precursor is filed under the name Marmota monax (woodchuck). The record is from RNAcentral. Lineage: Eukaryota; Metazoa; Chordata; Mammalia; Rodentia; Sciuridae.
AGAGAGAUAGCUGGGUCAAAUGGUGGUUCCAUUCCCAGAUUUCCAAGGAAUCUCCAUACUGUUUUCCAUAUUGGCUGCACCAAUUUGCAGUUCCACCAGCAAU